RNAcentral lists this ribosomal RNA (1349 nucleotides) under metagenome. RNAcentral describes it as "bacterial LSU rRNA". It matches the Rfam family "Bacterial large subunit ribosomal RNA", at positions 1564 to 2925 of the family's 2925-position model. The record is from RNAcentral.
UGAAUACGAAAUGCUACGGCAUUGAAGUGAUCUAUGCCAUGCUUCCAAGAAAAUCUCGUCAUAUCUUAAAUAAUAAAUGCCUGUACCUUAAACCGACACAGGUAGGUAGGUAGAGUAUACCAAGGGGCGCGAGAUAACUCUCUCUAAGGAACUCGGCAAAAUAACCUCGUAACUUCGGAAGAAGAGGUACCCUUGAAAAAGGGUUGCAAUAACCAGACCCUGGCGACUGUUUACCAAAAACACAGGUCUCCGCUAAUUCGUAAGAUCAAGAAUGGAGGCUGACGCCUGCCCAGUGCCGGAAGGUUAAAGAAGUUGGUCAAUCUUCGGAUGAAGCUGGCGACUGAAGCCCCGGUGAACGGCGGCCGUAACAAUAACGGUCCUAAGGUAGCGAAGUUCCUUGUCGGGUAAGUUCCGACCCGCACGAAAGGCGUAACGAUCAGGGUGCUGUCUCGGAGAGAGACUCGGCGAAAUAGACAUGUCUGUGAAGAUGCGGACUACCUGCACCUGGACAGAAAGACCCUAUGAAGCUUUACUGUAUCUUGGAAUUGGGUUUGGGCCUUGUUUGCGCAGGAUAGGUGGGAGGCUGUGAAAAUAUUCUCGUGGGAAUAUUGGAGCCAACGGUGAGAUACCACUCUAGCAAGGCUAAAAUUCUAACUCUGAACCGUUAUCCGGUCAGAGAACAGUUUCAGGUGGGCAGUUUGACUGGGGCGGUCGCCUCCUAAAAGGUAACGGAGGCGCGCAAAGGUUCCCUCAGGCUGGUUGGACAUCAGUCGUAGAGUGUAAAGGCAUAAGGGAGCUUGACUGCGAGACCCACAAGUCGAGCAGAGACGAAAGUCGGCCCUUGAUCCGACGGUUCCACGUGGAAGGGCCGUCGCUCAACGGAUAAAAGUUACUCUAAGGAUAACAGGCUGAUCUCCCCCAAGAGUUCACAUCGACGGGGAGGUUUGGCACCUUGAUGUCGGCUCAUCGCAUCCUGGGGCGGUAGUACGUCCCAAGGGUUGGGCUGUUCGCCCAUGAAAGCGGUACGCGAGCUGGGUUCAGAACGUCGUGAGACAGAUCGGUCCAUAUCCGGUGCAGGCGUUAGAGCAUUGAAAGGAGUCCCCCUUAGUACGAGAGGACCGGGGGGAAUACACCGCUGGUGUACCAGUUAUCGUGCCAACGGUAAACGCUGGGUAGCCAUGUGUAGCGUGGAUAACUGCUGAAAGCAUCUAAGUAGGAAGCCCACCUUAAGAUGAGUGCUCUCACCGCUAUAAGCGGGUAAGGUCACGGUAAGAACAACCGUUAUAUAGGCAUUAAGUAUACAUGCAGUAAUGCAUUUAGCUGAGAUGUACUAACAGUCCGAGGGCUUG